GUUACAGCUGUAAAACUACUAAUUCUUCUAAAAACUCUAAAUUAUGUGAUAAUUUCAAUAAUAUGUUAUCAAAUAUGUUUUAAUGGUGAUAUUACAAAGCCUCCGAAGUCCCAGAAUGUGUUAUUAGUUUUAUUUUGAGUUCACACGAUGCAAGGAUCUGAAACAAGACAACAACAUGUGCACAUUAGAUUUAAAAAUUGUAAAUAAAUAAUCUAUCAGGAUAUCUACAACCCCUCAAAUUGACCAUGUAGAGCUACUGCCUUCCAUCUUCUAUCAUCAGUAUUAGUCUGGCUCUACAGGCAGAUGUGUCUUUUACUGUUCAAGCUGUUGCUUUUCCCUCCUUGUACUUCCAUAUCCUGCCCUCACUGUUUGCCCUGUCAGUAGCUGUCUAUCAGUGCACUUAUAUCUCAGUAUACUGGGGCCAUUAAUUAAAAGACAACCUGUACAGCAUCCAUUUUAGAGCAUGAGUGAAGCGAUUCAGUUGCUGCUUGAUAAUCACUGAUGUUUUCUGUCUGCUCAGGCUGCCUCUGCACAAAACCCCACAAGACAGCAAGCUGGAAACACCGAGGACGAUUAUGUCAACUACACUUCUCUGCACUUUAAGAAUAAGAUAAAGAACAAGCAAAGAAAGGUGGAAGAAGACCCUGUGUAUGCGAAGGUGUCCAAGCCAACGCGAGUUAGAAAGAAUGACCCAGAGAUCCUGCAGGACUAUGAUGACGUUAGUAAUGCAACUGCACGUGCACCAACAUCUCCAAAUCUAUUUGACGACCACACCAGUGAAGGUGAAGUGGAGCUCCACUAUUCACAGGUGACAUUCACAGCGACGCCCCGACGUCAGACGACCAACAGAGACUCCAGCAGCUCACACGAAG
This is a long non-coding RNA of Hippoglossus stenolepis (Pacific halibut), 872 nucleotides long. RefSeq lists it as uncharacterized. The record is from RefSeq and is a predicted model, not a curated record. NCBI's taxonomy places the organism in Eukaryota, Metazoa, Chordata, Actinopteri, Pleuronectiformes, Pleuronectidae. The transcript has 3 exons.